This 86-nucleotide ribosomal RNA is filed under the name Aeromonas hydrophila. RNAcentral's name for it is "partial 16S ribosomal RNA". It matches the Rfam family "Bacterial small subunit ribosomal RNA", at positions 1 to 85 of the family's 1533-position model. Lineage: Bacteria; Pseudomonadati; Pseudomonadota; Gammaproteobacteria; Aeromonadales; Aeromonadaceae. RNAcentral also lists the same sequence under 6 other names. The record is from RNAcentral.
AAAUUGAAGAGUUUGAUCAUGGCUCAGAUUGAACGCUGGCGGCAGGCCUAACACAUGCAAGUCGAGCGGCAGCGGGAAAGUAGCUU